RNAcentral lists this ribosomal RNA (445 nucleotides) under uncultured bacterium. RNAcentral describes it as "bacterial SSU rRNA". It matches the Rfam family "Bacterial small subunit ribosomal RNA", at positions 954 to 1392 of the family's 1533-position model. The record is from RNAcentral.
GCAGAACGCGAAGAACCUUACCAAGGCUUGACAUGGAUUUCUAAGCACGUGAAAGCGUGUGACCCGUUCGGGGGACUUCCACAGGUGCUGCAUGGCCGUCGUCAGCUCGUGUCGUGAGAUGUUGGGUUAACGUCCCGCAACGAGCGACAACCCCUGUGAUCAGUUGCCAGCGAGUAAUGGUCGGGGACUCUGGUCAGACUCGCCCAGAUCAACGUGGGAGGAAGGUGGGGACGACGUCAGGUCAGUAUGGCCCUUACGCCUUGGGCUGCACACGUACUACAAUGCCCCAGCACAAUGAGAACCGAGACCGCGAGGUGGAGGAAAUCUGUAAAACUGGGCCCAGUUCGGAUUGGAGGCUGCAACUCGCUUCCAUGAAGCCGGAAUCGCUAGUAAUGCGGCAUCAGCUACGGCCGCGUGAAUACGUUCCCGGGUCUUGUACACACCG